GGGAGAGUAAAGAAGCGAGAGAAAGAAGAAGAAAGGAAAAGAGGAAAAAAAGAAAGAAGAAGAAGGGGAAGUUGACCGUGGAGCUUCACCGGAGCUAGGUCUUAGUAUUUUGAGCCCUGAUUAAUGAUCAACUUACUGAGGUCUUCGAUUUGAGGUGAUUUUGCAAGUUACCCACCUAGUAAUCAGAAGUCGGGCCCCACUGUGAAGUUUUCAUCUGAGGAUUGGUGGAUCCCUAACGAAUUUAAGCAUGGUACCAAUUGCACGUGCGAGGAUUGUGAUGUGUUGCAGCUGUGAUUCUUGAGUGGUUCUUUUGAUUCUUUUUUAUGUACUCCAUUUUUGUUACUUGAUGCUUAAAUUGUUAUAUGUUUGUAUAUAUAUCAUGCCUUCGGGCCCAAAUAUAUGUAACUUUUAUAACUCAA
Molecule: long non-coding RNA, 419 nt
Organism: Macadamia integrifolia
Lineage: Eukaryota; Viridiplantae; Streptophyta; Magnoliopsida; Proteales; Proteaceae
Exons: 2
Source: RefSeq, a predicted model, not a curated record